This 604-nucleotide ribosomal RNA is filed under the name uncultured Actinomycetes bacterium. Its description in RNAcentral is "bacterial SSU rRNA". It matches the Rfam family "Bacterial small subunit ribosomal RNA", at positions 252 to 866 of the family's 1533-position model. Lineage: Bacteria; Bacillati; Actinomycetota; Actinomycetes. The record is from RNAcentral.
GUGAGGUAAUGGCUCACCAAGGCGACGACGGGUAGCCGGCCUGAGAGGGUGACCGGCCACACUGGGACUGAGACACGGCCCAGACUCCUACGGGAGGCAGCAGUGGGGAAUAUUGCACAAUGGACGAAAGCCUGAUGCAGCGACGCCGCGUGAGGGAUGACGGCCUUCGGGUUGUAAACCUCUUUCAGUAGGGAAGAAGCGAAAGUGACGGUACCUGCAGAAGAAGCGCCGGCUAACUACGUGCCAGCAGCCGCGGUAAUACGUAGGGCGCAAGCGUUGUCCGGAAUUAUUGGGCGUAAAGAGCUCGUAGGCGGUUUGUCGCGUCUGCUGUGAAAGCCCGAGGCUCAACCCCGGGUCUGCAGUGGGUACGGGCAGACUAGAGCGCAGUAGGGGAGACUGGAAUUCCUGGUGUAGCGGUGAAAUGCGCAGAUAUCAGGAGGAACACCGAUGGCGAAGGCAGGUCUCUGGGCUGUUACUGACGCUGAGGAGCGAAAGCAUGGGGAGCGAACAGGAUUAGAUACCCUGGUAGUCCAUGCCGUAAACGUUGGGCACUAGGUGUGGGGGACAUUCCACGUUCUCCGCGCCGUAGCUAACGCAUUAAGUU